ACGGCGUCUGGUUGGUGGAACUCGCCGCCAUCGGCGCCGACGGCGACGUCGCGCAGGCGACGCUCACCGGGCUCGGGCUCCGGGACGCCCUGC
This 93-nucleotide transfer RNA is filed under the name Micromonospora fulviviridis. RNAcentral's name for it is "tRNA-Asp". The record is from RNAcentral. Lineage: Bacteria; Bacillati; Actinomycetota; Actinomycetes; Micromonosporales; Micromonosporaceae.